This 497-nucleotide ribosomal RNA is filed under the name uncultured bacterium. RNAcentral describes it as "partial 16S ribosomal RNA". It matches the Rfam family "Bacterial small subunit ribosomal RNA", at positions 28 to 507 of the family's 1533-position model. The record is from RNAcentral.
GAUGAACGCUGGCGGCGUGCCUAAUACAUGCAAGUCGAGCGAACAGACGAGGAGCUUGCUCCUCUGACGUUAGCGGCGGACGGGUGAGUAACACGUGGAUAACCUACCUAUAAGACUGGGAUAACUUCGGGAAACCGGAGCUAAUACCGGAUAAUAUAUUGAACCGCAUGGUUCUAUAGUGAAAGACGGUUUUGCUGUCACUUAUAGAUGGAUCCGCGCCGCAUUAGCUAGUUGGUAAGGUAACGGCUUACCAAGGCAACGAUGCGUAGCCGACCUGAGAGGGUGAUCGGCCACACUGGAACUGAGACACGGUCCAGACUCCUACGGGAGGCAGCAGUAGGGAAUCUUCCGCAAUGGGCGAAAGCCUGACAGAGCAACGCCGCGUGAGUGAUGAAGGUCUUCGGAUCGUAAAACUCUGUUAUUAGGGAAGAACAAAUGUGUAAGUAACUAUGCACGUCUUGACGGUACCUAAUCAGAAAGCCACGGCUAACUACGUG